GACGAACGCUGGCGGCGUGCUUAACACAUGCAAGUCGAACGGAAAGGCCCUUCGGGGUACUCGAGUGGCGAACGGGUGAGUAACACGUGGGUGAUCUGCCCUGCACUUCGGGAUAAGCCUGGGAAACUGGGUCUAAUACCGGAUAUGAUCAUCGGCUUCAUGGUCGGUGGUGGAAAGCUUUUGCGGUGUGGGAUGGGCCCGCGGCCUAUCAGCUUGUUGGUGGGGUAAUGGCCUACCAAGGCGUCGACGGGUAGCCGGCCUGAGAGGGUGUCCGGCCACACUGGGACUGAGAUACGGCCCAGACUCCUACGGGAGGCAGCAGUGGGGAAUAUUGCACAAUGGGCGCAAGCCUGAUGCAGCGACGCCGCGUGGGGGAUGACGGCCUUCGGGUUGUAAACCUCUUUCAGCACAGACGAAGCGCAAGUGACGGUAUGUGCAGAAGAAGCACCGGCCAACUACGUGCCAGCAGCCGCCGUAACAC
RNAcentral lists this ribosomal RNA (481 nucleotides) under uncultured bacterium. RNAcentral's name for it is "bacterial SSU rRNA". It matches the Rfam family "Bacterial small subunit ribosomal RNA", at positions 28 to 526 of the family's 1533-position model. The record is from RNAcentral.